UGUGGACAGUAUGGGAGUGAGAAUGUUGGCAUGAGUAGCGAGAUGUGGGUGAGAAUCCCACAGGCCGUAAACCCAAGGUUUCCAGGGGAAGGUUCGUCCGCCCUGGGUUAGUCGGGACCUAAGCUGAGGCCGAAAGGCGUAGGUGAUGGACAACAGGUUGAUAUUCCUGUACUACCGAUAACCGUUUGAGAGAAGGGAUGACACAGUAGGAUAAGCUAAGCACACUGUUGGUUAUGUGUGCCCAAGCAUUGAGGCAGUCAAAGUAGGCAAAUCCGCUUUGAUAAUGCUGGGAUGUGAUGGGGAGCGAAAUUUAGUAGCGAAGUAGCUGAUUUCACACUGUCAAGAAAAGUCUCUAUCGAGGUUAAAGGUACCCGUACCGCAAACCGACACAGGUGGGUGAGGAGAGUAUCCUAAGGCCAGCGAGAGAACUGUUGUUAAGGAACUCGGCAAAAUGACCCCGUAACUUAGGGAUAAGGGGUGCCACCAUCAGGUGGCCGCAGAGAAUAGGCCCAAGCGACUGUUUACCAAAAACAUAGGUUUCUGCUAAGUCGCAAGACGAUGUAUAGGAGCUGACGCCUGCCCGGUGCUGGAAGGUUAAGGGGAUCUGUUAGAGCAAUCGAAGCAGUGAACUUAAGCCCCAGUAAACGGCGGCCGUAACUAUAACGGUCCUAAGGUAGCGAAAUUCCUUGUCGGGUAAGUUCCGACCCGCACGAAAGGCGUAACGAUUUGGGCACUGUCUCAACAACAGACUCGGUGAAAUUGUAAUUCCGGUGAAGAUGCCGGAUACCUGCGACAGGACGGAAAGACCCCAUGGAGCUUUACUGUAGCUUGACAUUGGGUCUUGGUACUACAUGUACAGGAUAGGUGGGAGGCUUUGAAACCAGGACGCCAGUUUUGGCGGAGCCAUCCUUGGGAUACCACCCUUGUAGUACUGGGACUCUAACCAUAG
This 949-nucleotide ribosomal RNA is filed under the name Clostridioides difficile. Its description in RNAcentral is "bacterial LSU rRNA". It matches the Rfam family "Bacterial large subunit ribosomal RNA", at positions 1272 to 2231 of the family's 2925-position model. Lineage: Bacteria; Bacillati; Bacillota; Clostridia; Peptostreptococcales; Peptostreptococcaceae. The record is from RNAcentral.